GACGAACGCUGGCGGCGUGCUUAACACAUGCACGUCGAACGGAAAGGCCUCUUUCGGGGGGUACUCGAGUGGCGAACGGGUGAGUAACACGUGAGUAACCUGCCCUUGACUUUGGGAUAACUUCAGGAAACUGGGGCUAAUACCGGAUAGGAGCUCCUGCUGCAUGGUGGGGGUUGGAAAGUUUCGGCGGUUGGGGAUGGACUCGCGGCUUAUCAGCUUGUUGGUGGGGUAGUGGCUUACCAAGGCUUUGACGGGUAGCCGGCCUGAGAGGGUGACCGGCCACAUUGGGACUGAGAUACGGCCCAGACUCCUACGGGAGGCAGCAGUGGGGAAUAUUGCACAAUGGGUGGAAGCCUGAUGCAGCAACGCCGUGUGCGGGAUGACGGCCUUCGGGUUGUAAACCGCUUUCGCUCAUGACGAAGCUUUGUGUGACGGUAGUGGGUAAAGAAGCACCGGCUAACUACGUG
This 467-nucleotide ribosomal RNA is filed under the name uncultured bacterium. Its description in RNAcentral is "partial 16S ribosomal RNA". It matches the Rfam family "Bacterial small subunit ribosomal RNA", at positions 28 to 507 of the family's 1533-position model. The record is from RNAcentral.